GCAUUCAGGUGGCCGCUGUGCAGCAAUGCAUAGAGGAAAGUCCAUGCUCGCACGGGCUGCGAUGCCCGUAGUGUUCGUGCCUAGCCAAUUCAUAAGCUAGGGUAGUCAGGUAACUGGCUAACGGCAGGAGGAUUGCCUACGUCCUUUGGAUACGGUAAACACUCCUUGAAAGUGCCACAGUGACGGAGUCCAUUUGGAAACGAAUGGAGUGGAACGAGGUAAACCCCUCGAGCGAGAAACCCAAAAUUAGGUAGGGGCAUUUUCUGGUUUGGAACUGAACAAAACCAGAUGAACAGGAUUUAAUCCUGUAGAUAGAUGGUCACCACCAGCGUACGAGGCUCAUCACCGCUUGUAGUGCAACGGUACAGAACAUGGCUUAUCGAG
This 384-nucleotide RNase P RNA is filed under the name Alkalicoccobacillus murimartini. RNAcentral's name for it is "RNase P class B". It matches the Rfam family "Bacterial RNase P class B". From Rfam's summary of the family: Ribonuclease P (RNase P) is a ubiquitous endoribonuclease, found in archaea, bacteria and eukarya as well as chloroplasts and mitochondria. Its best characterised activity is the generation of mature 5'-ends of tRNAs by cleaving the 5'-leader elements of precursor-tRNAs. Cellular RNase Ps are ribonucleoproteins. Lineage: Bacteria; Bacillati; Bacillota; Bacilli; Caryophanales; Bacillaceae. The record is from RNAcentral.